GACGAACGCUGGCGGCGUGCUUAACACAUGCAAGUCGAACGGAAAGGCCCUGCUUGCCGGGUACUCGAGUGGCGAACGGGUGAGUAACACGUGGGUGAUCUGCCCUGCACUUCGGGAUAAGCCUGGGAAACUGGGUCUAAUACCGGAUAGAAGCCAUCUUUAGUGUGAUUGUUGGAAAGUUUUUUCGGUGUAGGAUGAGCUCGCGGGCUAUCAGCUGGUUGGGGGGGUAAUGGCCUACUAAGGCGGCGACGGGCUGCCGGCCUGGGAGGGUGGACGGCCACAUUGGGACUGAGGGACGGCCCAGACUCCUACGGGAGGCAGCAGUGGGGAAUAUUGCACAAUGGGCGCAAGCCUGAUGCAGAGGCGCCGCGUGGGGGAUGACGGCCUUCGGGUUGAAAACUCCUUUCGCUAGGGACGAAGCUUUUUGUGACGGUACCUAGAUAAGAAGCACCGGCUAACUACGUG
This 465-nucleotide ribosomal RNA is filed under the name uncultured bacterium. Its description in RNAcentral is "partial 16S ribosomal RNA". It matches the Rfam family "Bacterial small subunit ribosomal RNA", at positions 28 to 507 of the family's 1533-position model. The record is from RNAcentral.